Molecule: long non-coding RNA, 2748 nt
Organism: Oncorhynchus keta (chum salmon)
Lineage: Eukaryota; Metazoa; Chordata; Actinopteri; Salmoniformes; Salmonidae
Exons: 2
Source: RefSeq, a predicted model, not a curated record
GUGUGUUUGGUCACUCACACUCAUACUCACAGUGUGGUAGUUUGAUGAUGUGUGUUUGGUCACUCACACUCAUACUCAAUGUAGGUUUUAGGGCUAGAAGAUGCAACGUGAUUGGCUGAAUGUUGGUUUUAGAGCUAGAAGAGGCAACGUGAUUGGCUGAAUGUUGGUUUUAGGGCUAGAAAAGCCAACGUGAUUGGCUGAAUGUUGGUUUUAGGGCUAGAAGAGGCAACGUGAUUGGCUGAAUGUUGGUUUUAGGGCUAGAAGAGGCAAUGUGAUUGGCUGAAUGUUGGUUUUAGGGCUAGUAAACAGUUCUGAUCUGAAAAACUGUCAAAUGGCCUGAUCAGCAGUGAAACCUAACAUAUGGUUCCAAGUGGAAUGGUGUUAUUCGAUGAAUAGUGAGGCAUGAAAGGUUUAAUAGCCCCUCUUAAUGGCAAAAGGUUUUCAGGGAUUUUUAGCUUUGAUCAGAAGACCUACAGAGUGGAACGAUAAUUGGGAAUCAGCGAGAGGCCUCAGGAGAAAAGACAAACUCACUGAUGAAUUAGAUCUCUCUCUCUCUCUAUUUAUCUAUCUAUCUCUCUGAAGUUCUGAAUGACAGAGUCUUUUUGCUAAGCCUGAGAGUUUGGAUCUCAGUUUAAAUGAAGGAGAUCGUGACAUUGCUGCUGAGUGUUUGUUCAUUUGGGGAAUGGGAGGAAGCGAGAGAUAGGAAAAAGUGUCAUAACAGGUUAAUAACAGGGUUAGUUCAGUAAUUGUCUGUAAACAUGGUCUCAUGGUGAGAAACAUGGCGAUUGUCUCAUCUCCAUACUUACACAGGCUUUCUGUAUGACAACUACAACAAUAACAGAUAUAUUUAUAUGCAUGACUAGUCUAAGGCUUUAUUUCUGGGCAGGUCACAUGGUCAAGAACAACUCCUGGCCUUAUGAGAUUGAGUUAAACUGACGACUUAAAAUGAAUUGAACAAUAGUACCUACUCUAAAUGUAGGCUUAUUCUGGAUGGCAGGUUGAGGUGAUGACGAGGUGGUUAAGGAGAGAUAUGAUUGGACGGCAGUACAGGUGUCGACUGGUGAUUGGCAAGAAGGAAUCGGAGGAGCUGAAGAGAGGGCAGCUUUUCUUUCCAACACUUUGAAGGAGAGAAAAACACAGCAAUAAUAAAGGAAUGAAUGAAUAAAAGACGAGUUGAACAACUGCUGUAUUCACCUGUUGUUUCUCUUGAAGGACUCUAGUUCCUCAUUCAAAAUAGGGUUUGUUUGGUCUCUUAGAUUCUCAACUACACAUAUAUAGCGUUCCAAAUAGCCCCUUAUAACCUCUAUAGUGCACUUGGGGGUAGUGGGGUGCCAUUUGGGAUGCGAUCAUUAAUGAAGUUUAUAUAUACAGCAUAAAGAGAGUCAUGAAGACAGGACUUUCAGAAGGGAACUGAGGGACAAGCAGAGACACAGAAAGAUGUAUGACUUUAAUUUCACAUAAAUGACAUACAUUAAAAUAUGGGUAAUGUGGCCUCCCGAGUGGCGCAGCGGUAUAAGGCACUGCAUCGCGGUAUAAGGCACUGCAUCGCAGUAUAAGGCACUGAAUCGCGGUAUAAGGCACUGCAUCGCGGUAUAAGGCACUGCAACGCGGUAUAAGGCACUGCAUCGCGGUAUAAGGCACUGCAUCGCGGUAUAAGGCACUGCAUCGCGGUAUAAGGCACUGCAUCGCGGUAUAAGGCACUGAAUCGCGGUAUAAGGCACUGCAUCGCGGUAUAAGGCACUGCAACGCGGUAUAAGGCACUGCAUCGCGGUAUAAGGCACUGCAUCGCGGUAUAAGGCACUGCAUCGCGGUAUAAGGCACCGCAUCGCGGUAUAAGGCACUGCAUCGCGGUAUAAGGCACUGCAUCGCGGUAUAAGGCACUGCAUCGCGGUAUAAGGCACUGCAUCGCAGUGCUUGAGACGUCACUACAGACCCGGGUUCAAUCCUGGGCUGUGUUGCAAUGGGCCAUGAGGCGGUGCACAAUUGGCCCAGUCUCGUCUGGGUUAGGGGGAGAGUUUGGCCGGCAGGGAUGUCUUUGUCCUGCUGACACAGUCGCCAGUUGUUUUCUCUGACACAUUGGUGCGGCUGGCUUUCGGGUUAAGCGAGCAGUGUGUAAAGAAGUAGUGAGGCUUGGUUGGGUUGUGUUUCGGAGGACACAUGGCUCUUGACCUUUGCCUCUCCCGAGUCCGUACUGGAGUUGCAGCGAUGGUGUAACGCUCGUCCUCUUCUUCUGACGAGGAGUCGCAAGGAUCGGACCAAUGCGCAGCGUGGUAAGUGUUCAUUAUAUUUAUUUAUAACUCAGAACACUAAAACAAAAAUAACAACGAGAAUGAUACGAAACGAAACAGUCCUGUCUGGUGACAUACACAAAGACAGAAAAUAACUACCCACAAAUCAAGUGGAAAAAACAGGCUCCCUAAAUAUGGUUCUAAAUCAGAACAACGAUUGACAGCUGCCUCUGAUUGAGAACCAUACCAGACCAAACACACAGAAAACCAAAACUAGAACAACACAUAGGUUGCCCACCCCAACUCACGCCCUGACCAACCUAAACAAGAAACAUAACAAAGGAACUAAGGUCAGAACGUGACAGAUGGGACAAAACUGUAACUACCAAUUGGCUAUCACAAAAUCUGGGAGAACAAGUACAAAACAAUAUGUAUAGAGAGAGGAACAGUCAUUAAGCUGUUGUAUUUUCAAACAGGAAAAUAACAUUGACACACACACACACACACACACACACACACA